CCUGUGGAAACUCCCCAGGAUGUUUGGAAAGGAACAGUUUUAAGAGAAAGGGAAAAACAAGACAAAAGGUUGUUAGAGGCCAGUUACUAUGCCAGGGACAGGUCGAGAUUAAGGAUUUCAGUGUCCUUUCAGUGGACUAGGCAGAGCCAGGGGAUCAGAAUGAGACUGGGGUGGAGAGAUAGCAAAGAGUGGGGACUUCAGGUGGCAAUGGGACACAAGCAGAGGACCUUUUUCUGAUGGAAGGCUGAAGUUGGAUGUGUUCACCAUAGAUGAAGACAGGAUUGUGAGUCAAACAAAAAUUGAGAAUCCAGGCCGAGGAUUUAGCUCAGUGGUUCCACCGCCUCCCUGGCAAGCACAAGGACCCAAAUUCGAUCCCCAGUACUAAAAGAAAAAAGAGAAUCCAGGGGCAGCCCACCUUCCUGGUCCCCCUUCUCUCUUAGGCAGAAGCUUUCUUUCUCUCAAUAAAUUUUUCCUACUCUUAACGUCCAUUCUUCCUAGAAUUCAUUCUUUGAUUUUAGAGGACAUGAACUCGUGUUUUGGAUAUCUAGUAGGCUUAGGAGUUACAUCUCUCCCCCCAUAUCAUUUUGGAGGUCUUCCAAUGAGAUUACUGAUCGGAGAUGGCAUUGUACUAAAGGAUAACAAAUAAGAGUUUUCUUUAUGUCAUUUAAUGUCUUGUGAUCAGAUGGAGGUGUUUGACUGAAAAACUACUCCAUACUAAGAUGGACAUGGAUUCAACUACUAAAGCAAUCAUGAUUGAUAAGAAAUAACAGCCCACAACUGUGCUUUAUACUUCAAAAGUGCUUGAUGUUUUAACUAUUAUAAUAGAUAAGCUCCCUGCUCCGACUGAAAUACUUACGUCACUGAUCUUCUCAUCUGGAUGUUCAACAACUAAAGUUUGGAAACUAGAAAGGUAACUGGGCUAUGAAGACAGCCAGUAUUUUGGCCCUGGCCCCUCAAGGUCAACAAAGACCUAGGACACAAAGGAACCUUUCCUACAGGACCCCACAUCUUUGACUCAAAGCUAUAUGGCUACCAAGAUGACAAUGCCUGGCACCGAUUGAAGACCUUUAGAUAGACCCUCUGUAGAGUAACUGACUGCUGAUCACAACUAUGACCCUCUUCAGCUGGAAGUAGCCGGACCCGUCUUUGCCCUUUGGCCCCUCAUAGCAGUUAGGAGUACUUCUUCAGAGAGGAGAAUAUUGCAGAUAAGUAAGUUAAUUAGAUAUCUUGUAGGCAGUUAGACAGGGCCAGCCCAGGAGGAGCCAACAUGGAGGACAGUGAAGACACAGUCACUGAAGGCCAGCAUUGUAAAAGAAGAGAAACUACCACACUCAUGUAGGGUGAAUAGCAGUGACUGAUACUCGAUAUUCUAAAUAGGUAUCAGUCACCUGGGUGGGGGCCCAAGGUCUUAACCCAGCCUUUCCAGGAAAUAUCCCUGACCCACCCUUACUGAAAAUCCUUAUAAGCUUUCUACGUAACUUGUUCCCCCAUUGAACCCCCAUUUAAUAUUAUGUGGGUCAUUUUAUUGGUUGGUCAUGGUUUUGCCCCACCUCAUGCCCACCUUGUAAAUUUCCACUGGGUCUUAUAGUUUUGUCUCACUUUGUACCCACCUCACC
This is a long non-coding RNA of Heterocephalus glaber (naked mole-rat), 1616 nucleotides long. Lineage: Eukaryota; Metazoa; Chordata; Mammalia; Rodentia; Bathyergidae. The record is from Ensembl.